RNAcentral lists this transfer RNA (85 nucleotides) under Actinomadura syzygii. RNAcentral describes it as "tRNA-Ser". It matches the Rfam family "tRNA". Rfam says of the family: Transfer RNA (tRNA) molecules are approximately 80 nucleotides in length. The record is from RNAcentral. Lineage: Bacteria; Bacillati; Actinomycetota; Actinomycetes; Streptosporangiales; Thermomonosporaceae.
GGAGAGUUGGCCGAGUGGGAAGGCGGCGGCGUGCUGAGCCGUGGCCAGGGUCGUCCCUGCGCGAGUUCGAAUCUCGCACUCUCCG